Molecule: ribosomal RNA, 856 nt
Filed under: uncultured bacterium
Lineage: Bacteria
Description: bacterial SSU rRNA
Rfam family: Bacterial small subunit ribosomal RNA
Source: RNAcentral
AGAGGAAGGACGGUACCCCCGGAAGAAGUCUCGGCUAACUACGUGCCAGCAGCCGCGGUAAAACGUAGGAGGCGAGCGUUAUCCGGAUUUACUGGGUGUAAAGCGCGUGUAGGCGGUCGUGCAAGUGGUGCGUGAAAGCGCCCGGCUCAACCGGGCGAGGACGUGGACGAACUGCGCGACUAGAGGCAGGUAGAGGCGUGUGGAAUUCCGGGUGUAGUGGUGAAAUGCGUAGAGAUCCGGAGGAACACCAGUGGCGAAGGCGACACGCUGGGCCUGGCCUGACGCUGAGAGGCGAAAGCAUGGGGAGCGAACGGGAUUAGAAACCCCGGUAGUCCAUGCCGUAAACGAUGCUGACUAGGUGUGGCGGGUCUGAACUCCCGCCGUGCCGGAGCCAACGUGGUAAGUCAGCCACCUGGGGACUACGGCCGCAAGGUUAAAACUCAAAGGAAUUGACGGGGGCCCGCACAAGCAGCGGAGCGUGUGGUUUAAUUCGAGGCUACACGAAGAACCUUACCUGGGCUUGACAUGGCGGUGGUAGGGAACCGAAAGGGGACCGACCUUCGGGAGCCGUCACAGGUGCUGCAUGGCUGUCGUCAGCUCGUGUCGUGAGAUGUUCGGUUAAGUCCGGUAACGAGCGCAACCCUCGUCGCCAGUUACACGUUGUCUGGCGAGACUGCCCGUAGAAAGCGGGAGGAAGGUGGGGAUGACGUCAAGUCAGCAUGGCCUUGAUGUCCAGGGCGACACACACGCUACAAUGGCCGGUACAAUGGGGUGCCAACCCGCGAGGGGGAGCCAAUCCGGCAAAGCCGGUCUCAGUUCGGAUUGCAGGCUGCAACCCGCCUGCAUGAAGUCGGAG